Molecule: small nucleolar RNA, 107 nt
Organism: Sorghum bicolor (sorghum)
Lineage: Eukaryota; Viridiplantae; Streptophyta; Magnoliopsida; Poales; Poaceae
Rfam family: Plant small nucleolar RNA R71
About the family: R71 is a member of the C/D box family of snoRNAs containing the C (UGAUGA) and D (CUGA) box motifs.
Source: Rfam
AUUCCAUGAUGGGGACAUUCUAGGAUGUAGUCUUGAAAGCGCUCCCAUGCUUCUGGAACGGAUUCAUCAUUUUGUUGCUGAAAACUUGUAAUCUCCCCACGGAGAGC